GAUGAACGCUGGCGGCGUGCUUAAUACAUGCAAGUCGAACGGAAAGACGCUGCACUUGCGGCGCGGACGUUAGCCGCGCGGGUGAGUAUAACGCGUGUAACACCUCCCUGUAUGUCGGUUAUCACUACGGAAAAGCGGAUCUAAUACGAUAUAAGGUAUUGAACCACGGUGUGGGAUGGUGAGUGACGGUUGUGCGGGCGCUUAUAGAUGGAUUCGCGCCUGAUUAGAUAGUUGGUACGGUAACGGCUUAUCAAGGCAACGAUGCGUAGCCGAAUUGAGGGGGGGAUAGGCCACAUUGGAAGUGAGACACGGUCAAGAGUCCUACGGGAGGCAGCAGUAGGGAAUGUUAGGCAAUGGGCGAAAGCAUGACGCAGCAAGGCGGCGUGCGAGAUGAAGGCCUUCCGAUCGGAAAAAUGUGUUAUACGGGAUGAACCGAUGUUGAAGGAGACGAGGAGGUAGUGACGGUACCUGAUAAAAAAGCACCGGCUAACUACGUG
This 497-nucleotide ribosomal RNA is filed under the name uncultured bacterium. RNAcentral's name for it is "partial 16S ribosomal RNA". It matches the Rfam family "Bacterial small subunit ribosomal RNA", at positions 28 to 507 of the family's 1533-position model. The record is from RNAcentral.